This 492-nucleotide ribosomal RNA is filed under the name uncultured bacterium. RNAcentral's name for it is "partial 16S ribosomal RNA". It matches the Rfam family "Bacterial small subunit ribosomal RNA", at positions 29 to 507 of the family's 1533-position model. The record is from RNAcentral.
AGUGAACGCUGGCGGUAGGCCUAACACAUGCAAGUCGAACGGCAGCACAGUAAGAGCUUGCUCUUACGGGUGGCGAGUGGCGGACGGGUGAGGAAUACAUCGGAAUCUACUUUUUCGUGGGGGAUAACGUAGGGAAACUUACGCUAAUACCGCAUACGACCUACGGGUGAAAGCAGGGGAUCUUCGGACCUUGCGCGAUUGAAUGAGCCGAUGUCGGAUUAGCUAGUUGGCGGGGUAAAGGCCCACCAAGGCGACGAUCCGUAGCUGGUCUGAGAGGAUGAUCAGCCACAAUGGAACUGAGACACGGUCCAGAAUCCUACGGGAGGCAGCAGUGAGGAAUAUUGGACAAUGGGCGCAAGCCUGAUCCAGCCAUACCGCGUGGGUGAAGAAGGCCUUCGGGUUGUAAAGCCCUUUUGUUGGGAAAGAAAAGCAGCAGGUUAAUACCCCGCUGUUCUGACGGUACCCAAAGAAUAAGCACCGGCUAACUUCGUG